GGGGACUUAGCUCAGUGGUAGAGCGCUUGCCUACCAAGCACAAGGCCCUGGGUUCGGUUCCCAGCUCCG
Molecule: transfer RNA, 69 nt
Filed under: Rattus norvegicus (Norway rat)
Lineage: Eukaryota; Metazoa; Chordata; Mammalia; Rodentia; Muridae
Rfam family: tRNA
About the family: Transfer RNA (tRNA) molecules are approximately 80 nucleotides in length. Their secondary structure includes four short double-helical elements and three loops (D, anti-codon, and T loops).
Source: Rfam by way of RNAcentral